UACUCGAGUGGCGAACGGGUGAGUAACACGUGGGUGAUCUGCCCUGCACUCUGGGAUGAGCCUGGGAAACUGGGUCUAAUACCGGAUAGGACCGCACUUUAGUGUGUGUGGUGGAAAGUUUUUUCGGUGUAGGAUGAGCCCGCGGCCUAUCAGCUUGUUGGUGGGGUAAUGGCCUACCAAGGCGGCGACGGGUAGCCGGACUGAGAGGUUGGUCGGCCACAUUGGGACUGAGAUACGGCCCAG
RNAcentral lists this ribosomal RNA (243 nucleotides) under uncultured Actinomycetales bacterium. Its description in RNAcentral is "partial 16S ribosomal RNA". It matches the Rfam family "Bacterial small subunit ribosomal RNA", at positions 88 to 334 of the family's 1533-position model. Lineage: Bacteria; Bacillati; Actinomycetota; Actinomycetes; Actinomycetales. The record is from RNAcentral.